GAUGAACGCUGGCGGCGUGCUUAACACAUGCAAGUCGAACGAAGCACUUUAUUUGAUUUCCUUCGGGACUGAUUAUUUUGUGACUGAGUGGCGGACGGGUGAGUAACGCGUGGGUAACCUGCCUUGUACAGGGGGAUAACAGUUGGAAACGGCUGCUAAUACCGCAUAAGCGCACGGCAUCGCAUGAUGCAGUGUGAGAAACUCCGGUGGUAUAAGAUGGACCCGCGUUGGAUUAGCUAGUUGGUGAGGUAACGGCCCACCAAGGCGACGAUCCAUAGCCGACCUGAGAGGGUGACCGGCCACAUUGGGACUGAGACACGGCCCAAACUCCUACGGGAGGCAGCAGUGGGAAUAUUGCACAAUGGGGGAAACCCUGAUGCAGCGACGCCGCGUGAGCGAAGAAGUAUUUCGGUAUGUAAAGCUCUAUCAGCAGGGAAGAUAAUGACGGUACCUGACUAAGAAGCCCCGGCUAACUACGUGCCAGCAGCCGCGGUAAUACGUAGGGGGCAAGCGUUAUCCGGAUUUACUGGGUGUAAAGGGAGCGUAGACGGCAAGGCAAGUCUGAUGUGAAAACCCAGGGCUUAACCCUGGGACUGCAUUGGAAACUGUCUGGCUCGAGUGCCGGAGAGGUAAGCGGAAUUCCUAGUGUAGCGGUGAAAUGCGUAGAUAUUAGGAAGAACACCAGUGGCGAAGGCGGCUUACUGGACGGUAACUGACGUUGAGGCUCGAAAGCGUGGGGAGCAAACAGGAUUAGAUACCCUGGUAGUCCACGCCGUAAACG
Molecule: ribosomal RNA, 781 nt
Filed under: uncultured bacterium
Lineage: Bacteria
Description: bacterial SSU rRNA
Rfam family: Bacterial small subunit ribosomal RNA
Source: RNAcentral